Molecule: ribosomal RNA, 949 nt
Filed under: Russula sp.
Lineage: Eukaryota; Fungi; Basidiomycota; Agaricomycetes; Russulales; Russulaceae
Description: partial 28S large subunit ribosomal RNA
Rfam family: Eukaryotic large subunit ribosomal RNA
Source: RNAcentral
AAGCAUAUCAAUAAGCGGAGGAAAAGAAACUAACAAGGAUUCCCCUAGUAACUGCGAGUGAAGCGGGAAAAGCUCAAAUUUAAAAUCUGGUGGUCUUUGGCCAUCCGAGUUGUAAUUUAGAGAAGCGUCUUCCGCGCUGGACCGUGCAUAAGUCUCCUGGAAUGGAGCGUCAUAGAGGGUGAGAAUCCCGUCUUUGGCAUGGACCCCAGGGCUUCUGUGAUGCGCUCUCAAAGAGUCGAGUUGUUUGGGAAUGCAGCUCAAAAUGGGUGGUGAACUCCAUCUAAAGCUAAAUAUUGGCGAGAGACCGAUAGCGAACAAGUACCGUGAGGGAAAGAUGAAAAGCACUUUGGAAAGAGAGUGAAACAGUACGUGAAAUUGUUGAAAGGGAAACGCUUGAAGUCAGUCGCGUCGACCGAGACUCAGCCUUGCCUYGGCUUGGUGUACUUCUCGGCUGACGGGUCAGCAUCAAUUUUGAUCCUUGGAUAAUGGCAAGGGAAAGGUAGCACCUUUACAGGUGUGUUAUAGUCCUCUGUCGCAUGCAAGGGUUGGGAUUGAGGAACUCAGCACGCACCUUCUCGGUGUCGGGGCCUUGGCCUACGUUACGUGCUUAGGAUGCUGGCAUAAUGGCUUUAAACGACCCGUCUUGAAACACGGACCAAGGAGUCUAACAUGCCCGCGAGUGUUCGGGUGGAAAACCCGUGCGCGUAAUGAAAGUAAAAGUUGGGACCUCUGUCGUGGAGGGCACCGACGCCCGGACCAGACCUUCUGUGACGGCUCUGCGGUAGAGCGUGUAUGUUGGGACCCGAAAGAUGGUGAACUAUGCCUGAAUAGGGUGAAGCCAGAGGAAACUCUGGUGGAGGCUCGUAGCGAUUCUGACGUGCAAAUCGAUCGUCAAAUUUGGGUAUAGGGGCGAAAGACUAAUCGAACCAUCUAGUAGCUGGUUCCUGCC